CCUACGGGAGGCAGCAGUGGGGAAUAUUGGGCAAUGGAGGAAACUCUGACCCAGCGACGCCGCGUGAGGGAUGAAGGCCUUCGGGUUGUAAACCUCUUCAGCAGGGAAUAAGCGAAAGUGAAGGUACCUGCCGAA
This 135-nucleotide ribosomal RNA is filed under the name uncultured bacterium. RNAcentral's name for it is "partial 16S ribosomal RNA". It matches the Rfam family "Bacterial small subunit ribosomal RNA", at positions 338 to 486 of the family's 1533-position model. The record is from RNAcentral.